This 154-nucleotide small nuclear RNA is filed under the name Zalophus californianus (California sea lion). RNAcentral describes it as "U1 spliceosomal RNA (ENSZCAG00015021773.1)". It matches the Rfam family "U1 spliceosomal RNA". Rfam says of the family: U1 is a small nuclear RNA (snRNA) component of the spliceosome (involved in pre-mRNA splicing). Its 5' end forms complementary base pairs with the 5' splice junction, thus defining the 5' donor site of an intron. The record is from RNAcentral. Lineage: Eukaryota; Metazoa; Chordata; Mammalia; Carnivora; Otariidae.
AUACUUACCUAGCAGGGAAGAUACCAUGAUCACAAGGGUGGUUCUCUUAAGGUGAGUCUCAUCCACUAUGCUCAGGUCAUUCUGACCCCAGUGAUUUCCCCAAACGUGGGAAACUGGACUGCAACUUCUGUUGGUGAGGGACUGCAUUCCCAGU